UACGGAGGGUGCAAGCGUUAUCCGGAUUCACUGGGUUUAAAGGGUGCGUAGGAGGGCAGGUAAGUCAGUGGUGAAAUCUUCGAGCUUAACUCGGAAACUGCCGUUGAUACUAUCUGUCUUGAAUACCGUGGAGGUGAGCGGAAUAUGUCAUGUAGCGGUGAAAUGCUUAGAUAUGACAUAGAACACCAAUUGCGAAGGCAGCUGGCUACACAAAUAUUGACACUGAGGCACGAAAGCGUGGGGAUCAAACAGG
This 253-nucleotide ribosomal RNA is filed under the name uncultured bacterium. RNAcentral's name for it is "partial 16S ribosomal RNA". It matches the Rfam family "Bacterial small subunit ribosomal RNA", at positions 524 to 776 of the family's 1533-position model. The record is from RNAcentral.